Molecule: long non-coding RNA, 4593 nt
Filed under: Canis lupus familiaris (dog)
Lineage: Eukaryota; Metazoa; Chordata; Mammalia; Carnivora; Canidae
Description: lncRNA (ENSCAFG00845021441.1)
Source: RNAcentral
AUGUGUGAGGCUCUUCACCUCAGCUUUAACAAUUGCAAUGGCAGACGCUACAACUAGGAGAGACAGGAAGAAGGGCUGGGGCAUGCGUUUGUGUGGGAGGAGAAUUUUUUGGGAGAUUAACUUAUAUAUAACCAAGAAAACUUAAGUCAUAACCACUAUUUGUGGGUAAAAAAAUGAACAUGUAUACUUUGCAUUUAUAGUCUCUGUUUUACGAUAUAUAUUCAGAAAAAGUAUGUAUUUAAUACUAAAUACUGAAAUGUUUAAUACUAGGAAAACAUUCCCUGAGAUUUUAAAGAAACUUUUAAUUUCACAGCUGAUAGUCUUUUACUUAACAUAUAGUUUAUUUUUGGUGAACAGAAUGAUUUCAGCCUCAUUACAAAAAAAAAAAAAAGAAUCAAAGAGUACUAAAGUGCUUUAGUGAUUUGGAAAUUAGCUUUUAUGACCUUUGGCAACAUAUUAUAGAAAUCGUUCAAGCAGUGUACACUAUUUCAAGUGCAUAAACAAAAGGCAAAUUCUUGAAUUGUUUGGUAAGUUUCUACUUAUAAAUAUCCACUAUAUAAACUUACUAAACAUCAAGGAUUAAAAGGAUGUAAGAGUCAAAAAAGAGUUAAAUCUCUGAUUAAUUUUUGGUUUUAGAAAUUAGAAAGCAUUAGACACUUUGAAAUUAAAGUUGUGUUCGGGAGCUGGCUUUUUUACUGCCUUAUGAGAGUCGAAUGUUACAUUUUAAGGAAUUUUGCAAGCCUACUAUUAAACAUAGCCCUUGUAAGCAUUAAACUAUAUAAACUUACCAUUAAAUAAAUUAUAUUAAAGUACCUGUAAUAAUGUUCAAAAAUGCACCACUUCCUAAUGAUUUUACUACUACCUAGGCUUGUGAGGUUAUUCACAUCUCUGUAUCUAUAUAGUAAAAAUGCUAUGCAAUGGUAUGCUACUACAUAUCUCUUCCAAAAUCCACUCUCAGUAGUGUCAUGUUGGUAGCAUGAAUUUGGAUAUGGCUGAAGUAUUUACAUCACAGAAAUUAGCAUACACUAUAAAUCAGAGCUUGCCUUGUUUUUUUUUCUUCAGUAAGCUCGUUGUUAACAUUUUACUGGCACACUACACACACACACACACACAGCAAUAUAUAAGUAGUGCAUAUAUAUAGAUUUAUAGAGAUAGGUAAAUAUAGAUAUAUAGAUUUAAAUAUGUAAAUUCAGCUAUCUAUACCAGCUAGACAAACAAAUGAAAACUGAAAAAUGAAAAUUUGUCAGCAACUUAAGUGUGAAGAAAAUGUGGUAUAUACAUACAAGGGAAUAUUGUUCAGCCAUAAAAAGAAGGAAAUCUUGACAUAGGUCAUAGCAUGGAUGAACCUUGAUUAUAAUAUACUAAGUAAAAUAAACCAAUUGCAGAAGGACAUAGAUGGCAUGACUCUACUUAUAAGAGACAUCGAAGUUAUUCUAACUCAUAGAAGCAGAAAAUAGAAUGGUAGUUGCCAUGGGCUGGCAGGGGGUGGGGGAAAUGGGUCAUGCUGUUCGAUAGGUAUAAAUUUCAGAUAAGAAAGCCCUACAGAUCAUUUGUACGGUAUUAUGUUUAUAGUUAACAGUACUGUACUGUAUACUUAAAAUGUGUUAAGAGGGUAAAUCUCACCUUCCGUUUAUACCACAAAAAAUACUACUAAUAAUAAAUAAAGUAAAAAUAAAGUCUUGUUCUAAACAACUUGAGAAACAAGCCUAGAGAAUGACCAUGAAAGCUAUGGUUAACAUGCAACAAACAGAUCCCAACUACAGAUGUCUACACGGGGCUGUUGUGAAAUAGACUUAUUGGACAUUUACCAAGUUACUAUUUCCCAGGCUAGAAAGAACAAUGAGUCACUACCACUAGGAUGCUCAAAUUCCACAAAUGGACAUGAAAUUUUAUAAACCAUAUAACAAGAGAGAUCUAUGAAGGACAAACCUGUAUUUAUAUUGACAAUCUACUGUGUGGCAAAUAUGAUAAUAGAAAAUUUAUUUGCAUCAUCCCAAGUAAAUUCUAUAUGAAUUCUCAUGUACAAGUAUCAUUACCCCAUUUUACAUAUCAGACACAGAGAAAUUAAAUAACAUCACAAUAACCACGAUAAAUUAUAUGCCUAUUCUACUAUUAACUUCUGUCCAUGUCACUCAUUCUCUUUCAUAAUCUUCUUGGCAUCUCCCUUAGGAAUAACUUCUGCUGUGAAGGGCAUUACAGAUAAAUUACAUUUAAGCAAGGUUAUUCUGUUUUGGCGGCUGAAGCAGUACAAAAUUAUUAUCUUACAGUUUCAUAGAUCAGAAGUCAGACAUACAUCUCACUGGGCAAGGUUUUUCUAACUUAGCCACCACAAUUAACCAGCAAAGUAAACCUAUCAUCACAAAAUAGUAAGGUUAUUUUUUAAGAUUUUAUUUAUUUAUUCAUGAGAGACACAGAGAGAGAUGGGGGCAGAGACAUAGGCAGUGAGAGAAGCAAGGGCCCUGCGGGGAGCCUGGUAUGGGACUUGAUCCCAGGACCCCGGGAUCACAACCUGAGCCAAAGGCAGACACUCAACUCCUGAGCCACUCAGGUGCCCCGGUAGUAAAGCUUUUAUAAAUGAAAAAGAUAAGAGAAAAAUCAUGCUAAAAACAAUGUCUACUUGGCUAUUGACUAAUAUAUUGUGGUAAGCCCUCCUACUGAAAUCACUGCCCAAAUGAGGCAAAAUGAGAAAAAGGAAGCUUCUUUUUUUUUUUUUAAGGAAGCUUCUUAAAUUCAAAAAGUAGCAGAGUAAAAUAAGUAUCAGAGAAAGAAAAUCAUCAUAUGGUUUCACUUAUAUGUGGAAUAUAAGAAAUAAUGAAAGGGACUAUAAGGGAAAGAAGGGAAACUGAGUGGGGAAAAAUUAAAGACAAACCAUGAGAGACUCCUGAGUCUGGGAAACAAACAAAGGGCUGCAGAAGGGGUGAAGAGUGGGGAAUGGGAUAACUUAGUGAUGGGCAUUAAGGAGGACACUUGACCAGAUGAGCACCGGGUGUUAAACUAUAUGUUGGCAAAUUGAAUUUAAAUAAAAUAUUGAAAAGAUAGCAGAAAGCAUAACCUUUUUUUUCCAAGUAUCAGUUAAAUCUGAUAAUAAUCUCUUCAGAACUAUUUAUAUAUUUGAAUUUAUGUCUUCUAGGGUACAUUGUAGAAUAGAGUUAAAUAAGACCAAAAGAGCCUUUAAAAGAUAAUAUGAAUUCCAGUUUUAUUAUCAGAGGAGAAUAUAGAAUAUGGACUAUCUAAAAGGCACCAGAUGCUCUGAUUAGUCAAUUAUCAUUACAUUCUAGAUAACAGAGAAUUUAUAUUUUUUGAGUGUCUUCCAGAUUGAGUACUCUGGCAUAUAAUAUACAUUAUAAAGAAAUGAUAGCUGUAUCAUAAAGUUAGACCCAAUGAUAUUUUUCAAAUACAUAAUAAUUGAAGAGAUCUCACUAGUUAGCUUAGUAUAACAUAAACAUAGAUAUUCUAUCCAUCAAAGGAAGACAAAGGAAAGACCUUUAGUUCCUAUUUAAAAUUUUUGGUAAAAAAAAAUUAGUUUAAUCCUUGAGAAAUAGCUGUCUCUUAAUGCACAUAAGUUUAUAUUCACUUAGGCUUUUUAACAUUAAAAAAAAACGGUUUUACCAAUUUCAUUCUAGAAAGGAUGACUGAAUAGUCUAAUGGUUCAAUGGUCUUAAUGGUUAAGAAUAAUAGCUUUGAAGUGACACUACCUGGGAUCAAAACACUAAAUAUUUUGGGUCAUAUCUCUAUGCUUUGGUUUUCAUCUCUGUAUAUGGGUGGUAUAAAGUUGUAAUGUCUAUUUCCUCAGCAGUUGGACACAUUUUAAGAGUUUAUUAUUAUGUGCAAUUUAUAAAUAAACCAAAUUGACAAAACACACCAAAUUGUGAAAUAUGCAGGGAUAUAGUAAUUUACAUCAUUUUUUCUUAUCUUUUUUUUUUUUUUUUAAAUGCCUUAAGUAAGAGGACAUAAACUUAAAAGGAGUAGACAUUCUCCUUUUGGGUUCAUCAGUCACAUUAAUCCCAGUUCACACUUUGAAAUGAAAAGAUUAAGUCUCAUUAUAGUUUUAAAAAUGUAACUUUAAAUAAUAUUAAUGGCAUGCCAUCACAGCAGCUACAAAAGGGUGAACUAGUAAUUACCAACAAGCAACUGAUGGUAAAAUUAUUGUCACUCUUGUUUGCUAUUGUCAAGUUACCUUUCUAAUACUGCAAUAUGAACACUUUCCUUGUGAUUUUGUAUUCCAUUUUAUCCUAAAAGAUGGGAUAGAAUGAACCAAAGAAAUGACCUGUCUUUGCCUCACAUACUUCAAUUCUUACCCAAAAUUUACUUGGAUAUCUUUAGGGAUGGCACACAAUUUCUUUUGAGUAAGACAUUAUUGCCAGACAUGUUUAGUUUCAGCAGCCUGUAAUGAAAUUCAAAUCAAUUUUUGUUUUUUCCACCUUUUGGGAAAUUAAAAGUUUUAAUUUUUACUUAAAACAUAAAAUUUUGGGAUCCCUGGGUGGCGCAGCGGUUUGGCGCCUGCCUUUGGCCCAGGGCGCGAUCCUGGAGACCCGGGAUCGAAUCCCACAACGGGCUCCCAGUGCAUGGAGCCUGCUUCUCCCUCUGCCUGUG